CUGGCGUCAGGAUGAACGCUAGCGGCAGGCUUAACACAUGCAAGUCGAGGGGCAGCGGGAUGUAGCAAUACAUUGCCGGCGACCGGCGGAUGGGUGCGUAACGCGUAUGCAACCUACCUUAUACAGGGGAAUAACCUUUCGAAAGGGAGACUAACACCCCAUAGUAUUGAUUUAAGGCAUCUUAGAUUAAUUAAAUAUUUAUAGGUAUAAGAUGGGCAUGCGUAUGAUUAGCUAGUUGGUAAGGUAACGGCUUACCAAGGCGACGAUCAUUAGGGGUUCUGAGAGGAAGGUCCCCCACACUGGUACUGAGACACGGACCAGACUCCUACGGGAGGCAGCAGUGAGGAAUAUUGGUCAAUGGGCGCAAGCCUGAACCAGCCAUGCCGCGUGCCAGGAAGACGGCCUUAUGGGUUGUAAACUGCUUUUACAUAAGACUAACCGUAUAUUUGCGAAUAUACCUGAAUGUAUUAUGAGAAUAAGGAUCGGCUAACUCCGUGCCAGCAGCCGC
RNAcentral lists this ribosomal RNA (508 nucleotides) under uncultured bacterium. RNAcentral describes it as "bacterial SSU rRNA". It matches the Rfam family "Bacterial small subunit ribosomal RNA", at positions 18 to 518 of the family's 1533-position model. The record is from RNAcentral.